UGGUGGUGUGAAUUGUCUGGUUAAUUCCGUUAACGAGCGAGACCUUAACUUGCUAAAUAGUUACAUUAACCGUCUGAUAUGGCGUGAAACCGGGGGUGCGUCUGAUCCUCACGGAGAUGGCUACGCCAGGCGGAUCGUCUGAUGUGUUGGUGGGAAACUUCUUAGAGGGACAACUCGUGUUUAGCGAGUGGAAGCUUGAGGCGAUAACA
RNAcentral lists this ribosomal RNA (209 nucleotides) under uncultured eukaryote. Its description in RNAcentral is "partial 18S ribosomal RNA". It matches the Rfam family "Eukaryotic small subunit ribosomal RNA", at positions 1299 to 1458 of the family's 1831-position model. The record is from RNAcentral.